RNAcentral lists this ribosomal RNA (305 nucleotides) under uncultured bacterium. RNAcentral's name for it is "bacterial SSU rRNA". It matches the Rfam family "Bacterial small subunit ribosomal RNA", at positions 337 to 659 of the family's 1533-position model. The record is from RNAcentral.
ACCUACGGGGCGCAGCAGUGGGGAAUAUUGCACAAUGGGCGAAAGCCUGAUGCAGCAACGCCGCGUGAGCGAUGAAGGCCUUCGGGUCGUAAAGCUCUGUCCUCAAGGAAGAUAAUGACGGUACUUGAGGAGGAAGCCCCGGCUAACUACGUGCCAGCAGCCGCGGUAAUACGUAGGGGGCAAGCGUUGUCCGGAAUGACUGGGCGUAAAGGGAGUGUAGGCGGCUUAUCAAGUUAGAUGUGAAAUCCCGCGGCUUAACCGCGGAACUGCAUCUAAAACUGGUGAGCUGGAGUGCAGGAGAGGUG